Molecule: ribosomal RNA, 497 nt
Filed under: uncultured bacterium
Lineage: Bacteria
Description: partial 16S ribosomal RNA
Rfam family: Bacterial small subunit ribosomal RNA
Source: RNAcentral
GAUGAACGCUGGCGGCGUGCCUAAUACAUGCAAGUCGAGCGAACAGACGCGGAGCUUGCUCCUCUGACGUUAGCGGCGGGCGGGUGAAUAACACGUGGAUACCCUCCCUGUAAAACUGGGAUAACUUCGGGAAACCGGAGCUAAUACCGGAUAAUAUAUUGAACCGCAUGGUUCAAUAGUGAAAGACGGUUUUUGUGUCACUUAUAGAUGGAUCCGCGCCGCAUUAGCUAGUUGGUAAGGUAACGGCUUACCAAGGCAACGAUGCGUAGCCGACCUGAGAGGGUGAUCGGCCACACUGGAACUGAGACACGGUCCAGACUCCUACGGGAGGCAGCAGUAGGGAAUCUUCCGCAAUGGGCGAAAGCCUGACGGAGCAACGCCGCGUGAGUGAUGAAGGUCUUCGGAUCGUAAAACUCUGUUAUUAGGGAAGAACAAAUGUGUAAGUAACUAUGCACGUCUUGACGGUACCUAAUCAGAAAGCCACGGCUAACUACGUG